RNAcentral lists this ribosomal RNA (253 nucleotides) under uncultured bacterium. Its description in RNAcentral is "partial 16S ribosomal RNA". It matches the Rfam family "Bacterial small subunit ribosomal RNA", at positions 524 to 776 of the family's 1533-position model. The record is from RNAcentral.
UACGGAGGGUGCAAGCGUUAAUCGGAAUUACUGGGCGUAAAGCGCGCGUAGGCGGCUUUGCAAGUCGGGUGUGAAAUCCCCAGGCUUAACCUGGGAACUGCAUUCGAGACUGCAUUGCUAGAGUAUGGGAGAGGGAAGUGGAAUUUCCGGUGUAGCGGUGAAAUGCGUAGAUAUCGGAAGGAACAUCAGUGGCGAAAGCGACUUCCUGGACCAAUACUGACGCUCAUGUGCGAAAGCGUGGGGAGCAAACAGG